AGGGCGCACGGUGGAUGCCUUGACACUAGGAGUCGAUGAAGGACGGGACUAACGCCGAUAUGCUUCGGGGAGCUGUAAGUAAGCUUUGAUCCGAAGAUUUCCGAAUGGGGAAACCCACCAUACGUAAUGGUAUGGUAUCCUUAUCUGAAUACAUAGGGUAAGGAAGACAGACCCAGGGAACUGAAACAUCUAAGUACCUGGAGGAAGAGAAAGCAAAUGCGAUUUCCUGAGUAGCGGCGAGCGAAACGGAACAUAGCCCAAACCAAGAGGCUUGCCUCUUGGGGUUGUAGGACAUUCUAUACGGAGUUACAAAGGAACGAGGUAGACGAAGCGACCUGGAAAGGUCCGUCGUAGAGGGUAACAACCCCGUAGUCGAAACUUCGUUCUCUCUUGAAUGUAUCCUGAGUACGGCGGAACACGUGAAAUUCCGUCGGAAUCUGGGAGGACCAUCUCCCAAGGCUAAAUACUCCCUAGUGAUCGAUAGUGAACCAGUACCGUGAGGGAAAGGUGAAAAGCACCCCGGAAGGGGAGUGAAAGAGAUCCUGAAACCGUGUGCCUACAAAUAGUCAGAGCCCGUUAACGGGUGAUGGCGUGCCUUUUGUAGAAUGAACCGGCGAGUUACGAUCCCGUGCGAGGUUAAGCUGAAGAGGCGGAGCCGCAGCGAAAGCGAGUCUGAAUAGGGCGUUUAGUACGUGGUCGUAGACCCGAAACCAGGUGAUCUACCCAUGUCCAGGGUGAAGUUCAGGUAACACUGAAUGGAGGCCCGAACCCACGCACGUUGAAAAGUGCGGGGAUGAGGUGUGGGUAGCGGAGAAAUUCCAAUCGAACCUGGAGAUAGCUGGUUCUCCCCGAAAUAGCUUUAGGGCUAGCCUUAAGUGUAAGAGUCUUGGAGGUAGAGCACUGAUUGGACUAGGGGUCCUCAUCGGAUUACCGAAUUCAGUCAAACUCCGAAUGCCAAUGACUUAUCCUUAGGAGUCAGACUGCGAGUGAUAAGAUCCGUAGUCAAAAGGGAAACAGCCCAGACCGCCAGCUAAGGUCCCAAAGUGUGUAUUAAGUGGAAAAGGAUGUGGAGUUGCUUAGACAACUAGGAUGUUGGCUUAGAAGCAGCCACCAUUUAAAGAGUGCGUAAUAGCUCACUAGUCGAGUGACUCUGCGCCGAAAAUGUACCGGGGCUAAAUACACCACCGAAGCUGCGGAUUGAUACCGAAUGGUAUCAGUGGUAGGGGAGCGUUCUAAGGACAGUGAAGUCAGACCGGAAGGACUGGUGGAGUGCUUAGAAGUGAGAAUGCCGGUAUGAGUAGCGAAAGACGGGUGAGAAUCCCGUCCACCGAAUGCCUAAGGUUUCCUGAGGAAGGCUCGUCCGCUCAGGGUUAGUCAGGACCUAAGCCGAGGCCGACAGGCGUAGGCGAUGGACAACAGGUUGAUAUUCCUGUACCACCUCUUUAUCGUUUGAGCAAUGGAGGGACGCAGAAGGAUAGAAGAAGCGUGCGAUUGGUUGUGCACGUCCAAGCAGUUAGGCUGAUAAGUAGGCAAAUCCGCUUAUCGUGAAGGCUGAGCUGUGAUGGGGAAGCUCCUUAUGGAGCGAAGUCUUUGAUUCCCCGCUGCCAAGAAAAGCUUCUAGCGAGAUAAAAGGUGCCUGUACCGCAAACCGACACAGGUAGGCGAGGAGAGAAUCCUAAGGUGUGCGAGAGAACUCUGGUUAAGGAACUCGGCAAAAUGACCCCGUAACUUCGGGAGAAGGGGUGCUUUCUUAACGGAAAGCCGCAGUGAAUAGGCCCAAGCGACUGUUUAGCAAAAACACAGCUCUCUGCGAAGCCGUAAGGCGAAGUAUAGGGGGUGACACCUGCCCGGUGCUGGAAGGUUAAGGAGAGGGGUUAGCGUAAGCGAAGCUCUGAACUGAAGCCCCAGUAAACGGCGGCCGUAACUAUAACGGUCCUAAGGUAGCGAAAUUCCUUGUCGGGUAAGUUCCGACCCGCACGAAAGGUGUAACGAUUUGGGCACUGUCUCAACCAGAGACUCGGUGAAAUUAUAGUACCUGUGAAGAUGCAGGUUACCCGCGACAGGACGGAAAGACCCCGUGGAGCUUUACUGUAGCCUGAUAUUGAAUUUUGGUACAGUUUGUACAGGAUAGGCGGGAGCCUUUGAAACCGGAGCGCUAGCUUCGGUGGAGGCGCUGGUGGGAUACCGCCCUGACUGUAUUGAAAUUCUAACCUACGGGUCUUAUCGACCCGGGAGACAGUGUCAGGUGGGCAGUUUGACUGGGGCGGUCGCCUCCUAAAGUGUAACGGAGGCGCCCAAAGGUUCCCUCAGAAUGGUUGGAAAUCAUUCGUAGAGUGCAAAGGCAUAAGGGAGCUUGACUGCGAGACCUACAAGUCGAGCAGGGACGAAAGUCGGGCUUAGUGAUCCGGUGGUUCCGCAUGGAAGGGCCAUCGCUCAACGGAUAAAAGCUACCCCGGGGAUAACAGGCUUAUCUCCCCCAAGAGUCCACAUCGACGGGGAGGUUUGGCACCUCGAUGUCGGCUCAUCGCAUCCUGGGGCUGUAGUCGGUCCCAAGGGUUGGGCUGUUCGCCCAUUAAAGCGGUACGCGAGCUGGGUUCAGAACGUCGUGAGACAGUUCGGUCCCUAUCCGUCGUGGGCGUAGGAAAUUUGAGAGGAGCUGUCCUUAGUACGAGAGGACCGGGAUGGACGCACCGCUGGUGUACCAGUUGUUCUGCCAAGGGCAUAGCUGGGUAGCUAUGUGCGGAAGGGAUAAGUGCUGAAAGCAUCUAAGCAUGAAGCCCCCCUCAAGAUGAGAUUUCCCAUAGCGUAAGCUAGU
Molecule: ribosomal RNA, 2815 nt
Filed under: Bacillus cereus
Lineage: Bacteria; Bacillati; Bacillota; Bacilli; Caryophanales; Bacillaceae
Description: bacterial LSU rRNA
Rfam family: Bacterial large subunit ribosomal RNA
Source: RNAcentral